This 83-nucleotide transfer RNA is filed under the name Ameiurus melas (black bullhead). It matches the Rfam family "tRNA". From Rfam's summary of the family: Transfer RNA (tRNA) molecules are approximately 80 nucleotides in length. Their secondary structure includes four short double-helical elements and three loops (D, anti-codon, and T loops). Lineage: Eukaryota; Metazoa; Chordata; Actinopteri; Siluriformes; Ictaluridae. The record is from Rfam by way of RNAcentral.
GCUGCGAUGGCCGAGGAAGUUUAAGCGUUGGACUCGAAAUCCAAUGGGGUUUCCCCCCGCAGGUUCAAACCCUGCUCGUAGCG